UGAAUUAGCAUUGAUUGAAUAUAACCUGUUUGCUUCUGUAGAGACACAGGAAUAGUCAAACUGAAAAUGCAGGGAGCAUGCAGUGGCUGCCCAAGCUCAUCUGUCACUUUGAAAACCGGCAUUGAAAAUAUGCUUAAGCAUUAUGUACCCGAGGUCAAAGGUGUGGAGCAAGAAUUAGAUACUGAGGCUGAGGAUUCUGCAUUAGCUGGUCAGAUGGGAGUAGUUAAAGUUUAAUCAUCUCCUAUUACCAAGUCUCACCGGUGGUAAUCAGAUAUAUAGUUGAUGUCAAGGACUAAUGGCAGCCGUCCUGUACAGGAGCAAAGUUUGUGGGGUUAACUCAGUUUAUUCGUUGGUAGAUCCUGUAAUUUAGUUACAAUAAUUUGCAUGGGAGAUUUUUGGCUGUAUAAUAACUAUAGGCUCUCAUGGUCUGUUUACUUCCUGGGCUUGAUGCAACUAAAAGUUUGGGUUGCCAAUUUAUCUUUUUAACAGUUUCUAUUGAUUGAUUGAUUGAAUAUUUAAAACAAUUUUUAAAUAAUUUAAAUAAGUAUUAUUUUUAUUAAGUUUA
Long non-coding RNA from Theobroma umbraticum, 565 nucleotides. RefSeq lists it as uncharacterized. NCBI's taxonomy places the organism in Eukaryota, Viridiplantae, Streptophyta, Magnoliopsida, Malvales, Malvaceae. The record is from RefSeq and is a predicted model, not a curated record.